UUUUAAAUAAGAUUAAUUUAUAUAUAAUAAUAAAAAUGACAUAACAUACUAUGCUAAUCAGGAUAAUAUUGAAAAAUAAUAAAAACCAAAUGAGUUUCCAACCGCAAGUGGAAUUAUGCAUGGAGGGGUUAUAUUGGAGACAACAAUUUCUCAUCAGGAAAUGAUUAAUUAGUAUAUGUUUAUUACAUAAAUAUGUGAAUUAUGCACUAAUCUAAGGGCAAACCCCAUAAUCAAUCUUGUUUCAAGCUAGUUGGUUCUUGCCAAAAUCUGGCUGGUAAUCCUUGCUGGGGCACUGGAAAUGGGCCAUAAUGAAUCCCAUCCACUGAUCCCACCACUUCCCACCUGAAUUUGGUUACUAGAUGAUGGACCAAGAUGAGUAUUUCCAGCUUGGCGAGUUCAUUGCCAGGACAAGCAUGAACUCCAUUGCCAAAUGGAAUGAAGGUAUUGGGUUUUGGAGAAACCUGCAUUCCACCAUUCACCCACAAACCAGAAUAAAAUCUUGUGCCCUUUAGUGAACUAUGGCUUACAAACACCUGUGUGAGAGAUAAUUAAAGAAAGAUUCUUUUUUUUUUUCUUUGCAUACCUCAAACCUUGAUGGGUCAAAAAUGUGAGGAUCAGGAAAGAAUUCUAGAUUGUGAUGAAUGUUCCUGAACAGUGGCAUCACCUUCCAUCCUUUUGGUAUUAGGUAUCCCUUAUAUUCAACAUCAAUUAUUGCUUCCCUGAAGACGAAAGAUAUAAUGCUUGCCAUUCUU
RNAcentral lists this unclassified non-coding RNA (752 nucleotides) under Hevea brasiliensis (rubber tree). The record is from RNAcentral. Lineage: Eukaryota; Viridiplantae; Streptophyta; Magnoliopsida; Malpighiales; Euphorbiaceae.